GGUUAAGCGACUAAGCGUACACGGUGGAUGCCCUGGCAGUCAGAGGCGAUGAAGGACGUGCUAAUCUGCGAAAAGCGUCGGUAAGGUGAUAUGAACCGUUAUAGCCGGCGAUGUCCGAAUGGGGAAACCCAGUGCAAUUCGUUGCACUAUCGUUUGAUGAAUACAUAGUCAAACGAGGCGAACCGGGGGAACUGAAACAUCUAAGUACCCCGAGGAAAAGAAAUCAACCGAGAUUCCCCCAGUAGCGGCGAGCGAACGGGGAGCAGCCCGGAGUCUGAAUCAGCUUGUGUGUUAGUGGAAGCGUCUGGAAAGUCGCAGGGUACAGGGUGAUACUCCCGUACACUAAAGCACACAGGUUGUGAACUCGAAGAGUAGGGCGGGACACGUGGUAUCCUGUCUGAAUAUGGGGGGACCAUCCUCCAAGGCUAAAUACUCCUGACUGACCGAUAGUGAACCAGUACCGUGAGGGAAAGGCGAAAAGAACCCCGGCGAGGGGAGUGAAAAAGAACCUGAAACCGUGUACGUACAAGCAGUAGGAGCCUCUUUAUGGGGUGACUGCGUACCUUUUGUAUAAUGGGUCAGCGACUUAUAUUCUGUAGCAAGGUUAACCGUAUAGGGGAGCCGCAGGGAAACCGAGUCUUAACUGGGCGUUAAGUUGCAGGGUAUAGACCCGAAACCCGGUGAUCUAGCCAUGGGCAGGUUGAAGGUUGGGUAACACUAACUGGAGGACCGAACCGACUAAUGUUGAAAAAUUAGCGGAUGACUUGUGGCUGGGGGUGAAAGGCCAAUCAAACCGGGAGAUAGCUGGUUCUCCCCGAAAGCUAUUUAGGUAGCGCCUCGUGAACUCAUCUUCGGGGGUAGAGCACUGUUUCGGCUAGGGGGUCAUCCCGACUUACCAACCCGAUGCAAACUACGAAUACCGAAGAAUGUUAUCACGGGAGACACACGGCGGGUGCUAACGUCCGUCGUGAAGAGGGAAACAACCCAGACCGCCAGCUAAGGUCCCAAAGUCAUGGUUAAGUGGGAAACGAUGUGGGAAGGCCCAGACAGCCAGGAUGUUGGCUUAGAAGCAGCCAUCAUUUAAAGAAAGCGUAAUAGCUCACUGGUCGAGUCGGCCUGCGCGGAAGAUGUAACGGGGCUAAACCAUGCACCGAAGCUGCGGCAGCGACACUAUGUGUUGUUGGGUAGGGGAGCGUUCUGUAAGCCGUUGAAGGUGGCCUGUGAGGGUUGCUGGAGGUAUCAGAAGUGCGAAUGCUGACAUAAGUAACGAUAAUGCGGGUGAAAAACCCGCACGCCGGAAGACCAAGGGUUCCUGUCCAACGUUAAUCGGGGCAGGGUGAGUCGACCCCUAAGGCGAGGCCGAAAGGCGUAGUCGAUGGGAAACAGGUUAAUAUUCCUGUACUCGGUGUUACUGCGAAGGGGGGACGGAGAAGGCUAUGUUGGCCGGGCGACGGUUGUCCCGGUUUAAGCAUGUAGGCGGAUGUUCCAGGUAAAUCCGGAACGUUA
RNAcentral lists this ribosomal RNA (1506 nucleotides) under Klebsiella grimontii. RNAcentral describes it as "partial 23S ribosomal RNA". It matches the Rfam family "Bacterial large subunit ribosomal RNA", at positions 1 to 1552 of the family's 2925-position model. The record is from RNAcentral. Lineage: Bacteria; Pseudomonadati; Pseudomonadota; Gammaproteobacteria; Enterobacterales; Enterobacteriaceae.